Molecule: long non-coding RNA, 714 nt
Organism: Penaeus monodon (black tiger shrimp)
Lineage: Eukaryota; Metazoa; Arthropoda; Malacostraca; Decapoda; Penaeidae
Exons: 3
Source: RefSeq, a predicted model, not a curated record
CUGUAUUCAGCAUUCCAAUUGAAACAGUGUAACUUUUACUUAAUUUCUGGAGCCCACCAAUCAUGAUCCAACACUUGAUUACUUGGGUGCUAUUUUACUAUUAUGGAACCACAUGUAAGUUUUGUUUUUUUCAGUACUUUUAUUGCAUUUUAAAAAACUAACAUCAGAAUUAACAUCUCACAAAUAUUUACUCCUUUUCAACAAAUUGUGCAUAUUUUUUCAGAUUAGGUUUCAAAGAUUUGCCUCAGUCAGUAGCAUUCUUCAGUGCAGUAGACAUAGAUUAUGUUCUUCGAAAAGAGCCUCAUCUAGACUGUGUUACACCUUCAAAUCCUGAAGGACUGAAUAAAGGGUAUGGAAUUCCUCCAGGAGAGGCACUUGAUAUGCAGAAAAUUCUUGAGAUCACCUCAGGUAUUCUUGAGAAGAAUGGAGAAGUUGCCAGAUGAUAGUGUCAUUUUGCUAAUAACAAUUGGACACUUGAAUUUCCUGAGUCUACCAGACUAGUUUAUUGGACCACCAUAGGAGGCAUCAAGUGUGGUGGGACAAGUGAAAGAUAGAAUGAGUGUGGCUGAAGGAAAAAGUACCAAUAACCAAUCUUUGGGAGUGUGAUAAAUGCGGAUUAAGUUCAUGUUUCUGGUCAAUACAUAAUAGUCUUUAAUAAAUCACAUUAUUAUUUGUUUGUUGCAUUAUUAUUUUUUUUUUUUUUUUUUUUUUUUU